This 257-nucleotide ribosomal RNA is filed under the name uncultured bacterium. RNAcentral describes it as "partial 16S ribosomal RNA". It matches the Rfam family "Bacterial small subunit ribosomal RNA", at positions 76 to 334 of the family's 1533-position model. The record is from RNAcentral.
UUGCUUUCUUUGCUGGCGACCGGCGCACGGGUGAGUAACACGUAUCCAACCUGCCCUUUACUCGGGGAUAGUCUUUCGAAAGAAAGAUUAAUACCCGAUAGCAUAAUGAUUCCGCAUGGUUUCAUUAUUAAAGGAUUCCGGUAAAGGAUGGGGAUGCGUUCCAUUAGGUUGUUGGUGGGGUAACGGCCCACCAAGCCUUCGAUGGAUAGGGGUUCUGAGAGGAAGGUCCCCCACAUUGGAACUGAGACACGGUCCAA